UUUUGAACAAUGUUGUAGUCCACCAUCUACGCUUUUUGUUUUUAUUUUGCUUUUAAAGUCCUGCACUUAUAACUAUAAAAAUGGCACUAGCAAUCGCAACUUCAUCAUCACUAUUUGAAGCCAUUUUACGAUAAACACUUAAUUUCACCACGAGCUUUACGUGCUCAAUUGUUUAUGUAAACUGUAUAGACUAUAACUUGUAGGUAACCUAAAAUAUAAUAUUUUGGCGGGUGUUCUAUUGACGAAUAUUGACGAAUCUCCGCGAAUAGAAAGAACGCGAAUAGUGAAUCACGAAUAACGAAUAUCCACGAAUAGUGUGUAAGGUGUUAUUGCAAAAAUGAUGAAUUUGUACGAAUCGCAAACCGCGAACCACGAACAAUGAAUACGCGCAUAGUGUGUACCUUUAUAAUUAAUUAGUUUUAACAUUUUAAGAGACGACGAAUUUGAGCUAAUUUCAAAAAAAUUCUCAGUAUGACUAGUACUUGACCAAUUUUUUUUUCGAAUUGCUGAUGUCAAAUCAUAUUCUAUCACACUCUAUUAUUUAAACAAAUUAUACAAAAUACAAUAAUUAUUUCAUAUUUAAACGAUAUAAUUGCACAGUGGUUUGUAAAGAGGUUUGAAUGCUAAAACAAUAACACGACAUUUAAAUUUCCGUCUUCGAAACGGUAUCGGGGAGAGAUGUCCUAGACCCUCCGAUAUUCGUGUAUAAAUAAUUGAUCAAAUAUUAAACAAAAUAUUUUAUUCGAAUAAAAAAUCAUUAUUAAAUAUUAAUUGAAGAAACCAUAACCGGCAUAACCACCAAAAUUUAAAUCAUAGAUAGGUAUGAAAAGAGAUGAGAAUAAUAUAAACAACAGAUACAUAGGUAAGGUACCUAAUAGGUAUUAGCAUUGAUAAUAAAUAUUUAUAAUAAUAAUUGUAUUAGGAACGUAUUUGUUGGAAAAAUUUGGCUUGCCUCGUCGUGUAUUGAUAAAGGUAUCUUGGAUAAUCAAAAAUAUAAAAUAAAAUAAUUGAUAUAGUCAAUAAGAUUAUUAAGAUUCACAAUCGUGUAUCAUUGGGUAAAUUUUUAAAAUCUUUAAUAACGUCCGUUUGUACUCAUUCUUGAACACUACACUUCAAUAACAUUAUCGUACUAAUAGAUCUUAUACCUACCCUCACUAACCUUACACCCUAGUAUAAGCUGGCCUAUGGUCGUACUAAAUUAUAAUUAUGAAAGGUGGUGAUGCACAAGACGUAUAAACCACGAUUCAUAAGUUUAUGAACUAUCUGUUGUUAUCAUGCUGAUAAGACUUCAAAUUGUAUUCCCAAUACUCUGUUUAUACUGUUGUUGAUAAACUGUUACAAUGAAAUAUAGUCAUAGUGGAGGAGAAUAUGAUAUAGAGAUCAUAUUCGCACAGUUUUAUGAUAGCCUGUCAUUGUACCUUCGUUGUAGUUCAAAGGUACCUAGGUAAUUGUUGUUUGUUUAAACAAUGUCUAAGUACUCUGUCGAGAUUUUAGGCUCCGGCAGCAAUCGAUCAAAUGAUUGCUUUGAACGGGUAUUUUAAGGUUGAUUCACAACAUCUAAGCAGUAAGUUCAACAGUACGUCCACGUUUAUAGUUGUUCAAAAACGCUGGGAACCAAUUGCUGAAUCAUUCAAUACUGUCCCGAAGUGUAAUGUACAUACAAGGAGAUAUCGCAUAAAGAAAAUCUGAUAGUGAUUAGAUAAGAAAAGUAUAUGCAGUGAAAACAAUAAUAUGCGUCAUCGAAAAAUAAUUUCUUAUUUUCUGUAACAGAGACAGUAAUUUUGAAGAUAUUGUGUGAUUCGUUGUUGCAAAAUAAUCUUUUCGUUGAAUAUGAAAGAAGAUUGUGUACAAACUUGCAAUCACUGCGACACAUGGAUGUGGAAAUUUAAGUUAUACACCUGAUUCAAUGCAAACACCAAUUUUACAUCUAUCAGUUUUAAAAUUCAAUUCAC
This is a long non-coding RNA of Myzus persicae (green peach aphid), 1952 nucleotides long. RefSeq lists it as uncharacterized. The transcript is spliced from 3 exons. Lineage: Eukaryota; Metazoa; Arthropoda; Insecta; Hemiptera; Aphididae. The record is from RefSeq and is a predicted model, not a curated record.